RNAcentral lists this ribosomal RNA (466 nucleotides) under uncultured Streptococcus sp. RNAcentral's name for it is "bacterial SSU rRNA". It matches the Rfam family "Bacterial small subunit ribosomal RNA", at positions 338 to 795 of the family's 1533-position model. The record is from RNAcentral. Lineage: Bacteria; Bacillati; Bacillota; Bacilli; Lactobacillales; Streptococcaceae.
CCUACGGGAGGCAGCAGUAGGGAAUCUUCGGCAAUGGGGGCAACCCUGACCGAGCAACGCCGCGUGAGUGAAGAAGGUUUUCGGAUCGUAAAGCUCUGUUGUAAGAGAAGAACGGGUGUGAGAGUGGAAAGUUCACACUGUGACGGUAUCUUACCAGAAAGGGACGGCUAACUACGUGCCAGCAGCCGCGGUAAUACGUAGGUCCCGAGCGUUGUCCGGAUUUAUUGGGCGUAAAGCGAGCGCAGGCGGUUAGAUAAGUCUGAAGUUAAAGGCUGUGGCUUAACCAUAGUAUGCUUUGGAAACUGUUUAACGUGAGUGCAGAAGGGGAGAGUGGAAUUCCAUGUGUAGCAGUGAAAUGCGUAGAUAUAUGGAGGAACACCGGUGGCGAAAGCGGCUCUCUGGUCUGUAACUGACGCUGAGGCUCGAAAGCGUGGGGAGCAAACAGGAUUAGAUACCCUUGGUAGUC